Molecule: ribosomal RNA, 263 nt
Filed under: uncultured prokaryote
Description: partial 16S ribosomal RNA
Rfam family: Bacterial small subunit ribosomal RNA
Source: RNAcentral
UACGGAGGAUCCGAGCGUUAUCCGGAUUUAUUGGGUUUAAAGGGUGCGUAGGUGGAUUUGGUAAGUCAGUGGUGAAAGUUUGCAGCUUAACUGUAAAAUUGCCGUUGAAACUGCCGGUCUUGAGUGCAAAUGAGGUAGGCGGAAUGCGUCGUGUAGCGGUGAAAUGCUUAGAUAUGACGCAGAACUCCGAUUGCGAAGGCAGCUUACUGGGAUGCAACUGACGCUGAGGCACGAAAGCGUGGGUAUCAAACAGGAUUACGAUA